UGACGGAGAGGAGUAGUGUAUUGGUGGCAACCACAGUCUUUACCUUAAGUAAGCUGGAGCUCGGACGUGUUGGAGGCGCCUCUGGAGGAGGUUGGAUGUCGUUGCCCACGCAGCAAUCCCUCGAAGGACAACAGCCGAUCCUCCCCCGUGUGCCCACUUGUCAAGCUGGGCGGGAAGCCCAGUAUUGUUUGCAGUUUCAUCUGUAAGGCCCACCAGCCGUCAGUCAUCGACUAAACCCGUAUCUGCUUGGAAUACAGACCUCUGAAUAUCUUCAGUGGUGAGUAGCGCAUUAACAGCCCAGCCCCGUGAAUACUCACCUGUGUAUGGAACACUGUACUUACAUUGAGAGCUAGAACCCCUGCACGCUAACAGCUCAGCCCUGUGAAUACUUACCUGUGUAUGGAACACUGUACUUACAUUGAGAGCUAGAACCCCUGCACGCUAACAGCUCAGCCCUGUGAAUACUUACCUGUGUAUCGAACACUGUACUUACCUGAGAGCUAGAACCCCUGCACGCUAACAGCUCAGCCCUGUGAAUACCCACCUGUGUAUGGAACACUGUACUUACAUUGAGAGCUAGAACCCCUGCACGCUAACAGCUCAGCCCUGUGAAUACUUACCUGUGUAUGGAACACUGUACUUACAUUGAGAGCUAGAACCCCUGCACGCUAACAGCUCAGCCCUGUGAAUACUUACCUGUGUAUCGAACACUGUACUUACCUGAGAGCUAGAACCCCUGCACGCUAACAGCCCAGCCCUGUGAAUACCCACCUGUGUAUCGAACACUGCAUUUACCUGAGAGCUAGAACCCCUGCACGCUAACAGCCCAGCCCUGUGAAUACUUACCUGUGUAUGGAACACUGUACUUACAUUGAGAGCUAGAACCUCUGCACAUUAACAGCCCAGCCCUGUGAAUAUCCACCUGUGUAUCGAACACUGUACUUCCCUGAGAGCUAGAACCUCUGCACGCCAACAGCCCAGCCCUGUGAAUACUUACCUGUGUAUGGAACACUGUACUUACAUUGAGAGCUAGAACCUCUGCACAUUAACAGCCCAGCCCUGUGAAUAUCCACCUGUGUAUCGAACACUGUACUUCCCUGAGAGCUAGAACCCCUGCACGCUAACAGCUUAGCCCUGUGAAUACUCACCUGUGUAUUGAACUCUGUAUUUACCUGAGAGUUAGAACCCCUGCACGGUAACUGCCUAGCUCUUGCUUUAAACUUACCUGGAGUGGAGUCGGCGGGAAAUUAAGGGCUGAAGUGGAGUGUGGUCGAGGAAGGGCUGAAGAGGAGUGUUCUUGAGACUGGAAUCCGUAUUUGUGGAUAAAGAAUAGUUCGAGUCAUCAUUAGUUUUAAAGUUUCCUUACCCCUUUCCCCAAACUUUUAAAUAAAUAGAAUUGUUACAUUUUAA
Carassius gibelio (silver crucian carp) is the source of this 1410-nucleotide long non-coding RNA. RefSeq lists it as uncharacterized. The transcript has 2 exons. NCBI's taxonomy places the organism in Eukaryota, Metazoa, Chordata, Actinopteri, Cypriniformes, Cyprinidae. The record is from RefSeq and is a predicted model, not a curated record.